UACGAAGGGGGCGAGCGUUGUUCGGAUUUACUGGGCGUAAAGGGCGCGCAGGCGGCUAUCCAAGUCAGGCGUGAAAGCCCCGGGCUUAACCUGGGAGGUGCGUCUGGGACUGGGUGGCUAGAGUUCGGGAGAGGAGAGUGGAAUUCCCAGUGUAGAGGUGAAAUUCGUAGAUAUUGGGAAGAACACCAGUGGCGAAGGCGGCUCACUGGCCCGAUACUGACGCUGAGGCACGAAAGCGUGGGGAGCAAACAGG
Molecule: ribosomal RNA, 253 nt
Filed under: uncultured bacterium
Lineage: Bacteria
Description: partial 16S ribosomal RNA
Rfam family: Bacterial small subunit ribosomal RNA
Source: RNAcentral